GGAAUAUUGGACAAUGGGGGCAACCCUGAUCCAGCCAUGCCGCGUGUGUGAAGAAGGCCUUAGGGUUGUAAAGCACUUUCAGUGGGGUGAAAGGUGGUUUGGUUAAUAACCGGAUCGAUUGAUGUUACCACCAGAAGAAGCACCGGCUAACUCCGUGCCAGCAGCCGAGGUAAUACGGAGGGGGCAAGCGUUAAUCGGAAUUACUGGGCGUCAAGCGCACGUAGGCGGUUUGUUAAGCCAGCUGUGAAAUCCCCGGGCUCAACCUGGGAAUUGCAGUUGGAACUGGCAAGCUAGAGUAUGGUAGAGGGGUGUGGAAUUUCAGGUGUAGCGGUGAAAUGCGUAGAUAUCUGAAGGAACAUCAGUGGCGAAGGCGACACCCUGGAUCAAUACUGACGCUGAGGUGCGAAAGCGUGGGGAGCAAA
This 422-nucleotide ribosomal RNA is filed under the name uncultured bacterium. Its description in RNAcentral is "bacterial SSU rRNA". It matches the Rfam family "Bacterial small subunit ribosomal RNA", at positions 358 to 772 of the family's 1533-position model. The record is from RNAcentral.